RNAcentral lists this transfer RNA (52 nucleotides) under Candidatus Saccharimonadota bacterium. RNAcentral describes it as "tRNA-Ser". It matches the Rfam family "tRNA", at positions 23 to 71 of the family's 71-position model. From Rfam's summary of the family: Transfer RNA (tRNA) molecules are approximately 80 nucleotides in length. The record is from RNAcentral. Lineage: Bacteria; Candidatus Saccharimonadota.
ACACCAGGUUUUCAUCCUGGCAACAGGGGUUCGAUUCCCCUCGGGAUCACCA